UACGGAGGGGGCUAGCGUUGUUCGGAAUUACUGGGCGUAAAGCGCACGUAGGCGGAUUGGCAAGUUGGGGGUGAAAUCCCAGGGCUCAACCCUGGAACUGCCUCCAAAACUUCCAGUCUUGAGGUCGAGAGAGGUGAGUGGAAUUCCGAGUGUAGAGGUGAAAUUCGUAGAUAUUCGGAGGAACACCAGUGGCGAAGGCGGCUCACUGGCUCGAUACUGACGCUGAGGUGCGAAAGCGUGGGGAGCAAACAGG
This 253-nucleotide ribosomal RNA is filed under the name uncultured bacterium. Its description in RNAcentral is "partial 16S ribosomal RNA". It matches the Rfam family "Bacterial small subunit ribosomal RNA", at positions 524 to 776 of the family's 1533-position model. The record is from RNAcentral.